Molecule: ribosomal RNA, 253 nt
Filed under: uncultured bacterium
Lineage: Bacteria
Description: partial 16S ribosomal RNA
Rfam family: Bacterial small subunit ribosomal RNA
Source: RNAcentral
UACGUAGGGACCAAGCGUUGUUCGGAUUUACUGGGCGUAAAGGGCGCGUAGGCGGCUUGACAAGUCACUUGUGAAAUCUCCGGGCUUAACUCGGAACGGCCAAGUGAAACUGUCAUGCUAGAGUGCAGAAGGGGCAAUCGGAAUUCUUGGUGUAGCAGUGAAAUGCGUAGAUAUCAAGUGGAACACCAGUGGCGAAGGCGAGUCUCUGGACAUUUCCUGACGCUGAGGCACGAAAGCCAGGGGAGCAAACGGG